AGAGUGAACGCUGGCGGCAGGCCUAAUACAUGCAAGUCGAACGGCAGCACAGCAGAGCUUGCUCUGUGGGUGGCGAGUGGCGGACGGGUGAGGAAUACGUGGGAAUCUGCCCAGUCGUGGGGGAUAACGUAGGGAAACUUAUGCUAAUACCGCAUGCGCCCUUCGGGGGAAAGCCGGGGACCUUCGGGCCUGGCGCGAUUGGAUGAGCCCACGUCGGAUUAGCUAGUUGGCGGGGUAAAGGCCCACCAAGGCGACGAUCCGUAGCUGGUCUGAGAGGAUGAUCAGCCACACUGGAACUGAGACACGGUCCAGACUCCUACGGGAGGCAGCAGUAGGGAAUAUUGGACAAUGGGCGCAAGCCUGAUCCAGCCAUGCCGCGUGAGUGAAGAAGGCCCUCGGGUUGUAAAGCUCUUUUGUCCGGAAAGAAAAGCGCCGGGUUAAUACCCUGGUGUCCUGACGGUACCGGAAGAAUAAGCACCGGCUAACUUCGUG
RNAcentral lists this ribosomal RNA (492 nucleotides) under uncultured bacterium. RNAcentral's name for it is "bacterial SSU rRNA". It matches the Rfam family "Bacterial small subunit ribosomal RNA", at positions 26 to 507 of the family's 1533-position model. The record is from RNAcentral.